Molecule: ribosomal RNA, 498 nt
Filed under: uncultured bacterium
Lineage: Bacteria
Description: bacterial SSU rRNA
Rfam family: Bacterial small subunit ribosomal RNA
Source: RNAcentral
AUUGAACGCUGGCGGAAUGCUUUACACAUGCAAGUCGAACGGCAGCACGGGGCAACCUGGUGGCGAGUGGCGAACGGGUGAGUAAUACAUCGGAACGUGCCCAAUCGUGGGGGAUAACGUAGCGAAAGUUACGCUAAUACCGCAUACGAUCUACGGAUGAAAGCGGGGGAUCGCAAGACCUCGCGCGAGUGGAGCGGCCGAUGUCAGAUUAGGUAGUUGGUGGGGUAAAGGCUCACCAAGCCAACGAUCUGUAGCUGGUCUGAGAGGACGACCAGCCACACUGGAACUGAGACACGGUCCAGACUCCUACGGGAGGCAGCAGUGGGGAAUUUUGGGACAAUGGGCGCAAGCCUGAUCCAGCCAUUCCGCGUGCAGGAUGAAGGCCUUCGGUUGUAAAGCACUUUGUUGGGAGAAACGGUCGGAUUAAUACUUCGGCUGAAUGACGGUACCCAAAGAAUAAGCACCGGCUAACUUCGUGCCAGCAGCCGCGGUAAACGU